CUGGCGGCGUGCCUAAUACAUGCAAGUAGAACGCUGAAGAGAGGAGCUUGCUCUUCUUGGAUGAGUUGCGAACGGGUGAGUAACGCGUAGGUAACCUGCCUUGUAGCGGGGGAUAACUAUUGGAAACGAUAGCUAAUACCGCAUAACAAUGGAUGACUCAUGUCAUUUAUUUGAAAGGGGCAAAUGCUCCACUACAAGAUGGACCUGCGUUGUAUUAGCUAGUAGGUGAGGUAACGGCUCACCUAGGCGACGAUACAUAGCCGACCUGAGAGGGUGAUCGGCCACACUGGGACUGAGACACGGCCCAGACUCCUACGGGAGGCAGCAGUAGGGAAUCUUCGGCAAUGGGGGCAACCCUGACCGAGCAACGCCGCGUGAGUGAAGAAGGUUUUCGGAUCGUAAAGCUCUGUUGUAAGUCAAGAACGAGUGUGAGAGUGGAAAGUUCACACUGUGACGGUAGCUUACCAGAAAGGGACGGCUAACUACGUGCCAGCAGCCGCGGUAAUACGUAGGUCCCGAGCGUUGUCCGGAUUUAUUGGGCGUAAAGCGAGCGCAGGCGGUUUGAUAAGUCUGAAGUUAAAGGCUGUGGCUCAACCAUAGUUCGCUUUGGAAACUGUCAAACUUGAGUGCAGAAGGGGAGAGUGGAAUUCCAUGUGUAGCGGUGAAAUGCGUAGAUAUAUGGAGGAACACCGGUGGCGAAAGCGGCUCUCUGGUCUGUAACUGACGCUGAGGCUCGAAAGCGUGGGGAGCGAACAGGAUUAGAUACCCUGGUAGUCCACGCCGUAAACGAUGAGUGCUAGGUGUUGGAUCCUUUCCGGGAUUCAGUGCCGCAGCUAACGUAUUAAGCACUCCGCCUGGGGAGUACGACCGCAAGGUUGA
Molecule: ribosomal RNA, 879 nt
Filed under: uncultured bacterium
Lineage: Bacteria
Description: bacterial SSU rRNA
Rfam family: Bacterial small subunit ribosomal RNA
Source: RNAcentral